This 353-nucleotide unclassified non-coding RNA is filed under the name soil metagenome. RNAcentral describes it as "partial contains 5.8S ribosomal RNA, internal transcribed spacer 2, and large subunit ribosomal RNA". The stretch from base 1 to 121 matches the Rfam family "5.8S ribosomal RNA", at positions 35 to 154 of the family's 154-position model. The record is from RNAcentral.
GAUGAAGAACGCAGCGAAAUGCGAUAAGUAAUGCGAAUUGCAGAAUUUCCGUGAGUCAUCGAAUCUUUGAACGCACAUUGCGCCCAUUGGUAUUCCGAUGGGCACGCCUGUUCGAGCGUCAUUAUCUUCCCUCAAACCUCGGGUUUGGUGUUGGGCCGCGCUGGUUCCUUCGUGACCAACUGGCCUCAAAGACAAUGGCGGCGUCCGUGGGACCCUCGGUGCAACGAGCUUCUUAGGAGCACGCGUCGAGUUUCAAGGACCUUCCGGGCCGGUCUCUCCUCAUGCUAUCACAAGGUUGACCUCGGAUCAGGUAGGGAUACCCGCUGAACUUAAGCAUAUCAAUAAGCGGAGGA